GGCGUUUUGUUGUAAUGAAGAAUUUGGUCUAGAAAUUUCAUUUCCAUAAUCAUGAUUCAGAUAUCUUGGAUUGUUGUCACUUUAAUAAAAAAUAAUUGAUGAUGUUGAUGUUGAUUUUUUGAUUGGAAGGCUGUGUUAUAUUUUUCCUUUCUUAUUGUUAUUAUUUUUUUUUUUUAAUUUAGAAGCAUUUCACUAUUAUGUGGCUUCCUUUGUUUGAUGACUUCCUUUAUUUGCUUUGCUUAACAUUUGAAUAAUGAAAUAAUUUGAUAUGCUUUGAGUUAAAAUCAUGUUGAUUUGUAAGGUGAA
RNAcentral lists this long non-coding RNA (306 nucleotides) under Vigna radiata. RNAcentral describes it as "long non-coding RNA (VRAD_LNC017406)". The record is from RNAcentral. Lineage: Eukaryota; Viridiplantae; Streptophyta; Magnoliopsida; Fabales; Fabaceae.